AAAUAUCAAAUAUAUAAUAUUAAACUGGCCCGCCGGGCGAUUUUGCUGAUAAGACUACUAAUCCCAUAGUGCUUUGCGGCGUUAGCGCGCGAGACGAAGCAAGCCCUCUUUUAUGUUUACGAUCAUUAGCAUCCAUGCUAGUAGAAUCAGUGUGUGCAGCGUUACCCUCAGUCUUAAACAACUGAAGAUACUCCUCUAAGCACCCAGUUUACUCAGCGAGUUUCCGACUUUGAACGCCUAGAAAGAAGGUAUCUGGCUGGAACAGAUCAUGUACCUGAAGGUAGCUGACAACAACCGGGCAGACACCCACCUUGCCUUCUUCAGUGAAGCUGUGAAUGAGCAUGGCUUUCCUCUGAGGAGAUCAUGGCGGAGAAAAUGUAGGUGUUGCAGAAUUAAUGUUCUCAGUUCGUGGAACUGACACCAACAGCUUCAUUGCAGGAAAAAGUGUACACAAUCAACGGCCAGCCUGGAUGUCUUUAGAGAUGCGUGGGACAACCAUCCAAUCAGGACAGAGGAAAACAUGACACCAAAUCAGCUGUGGCAUCUGGGCCAGGCUCUGAAUCCUGUUUCUGAUCCAGGGGCAAAUGGUAUACCGGUACCAGAGAUUGAAUGGGAGGAGAAUGGAUACAUGACUGAACCUCAUCCUGGGAUCAGUGUCCCUGUACUGGACAGUCCUCUUUCAGAUCAUGAAAUGUUGGAACUGCAGGACAACAUAAUCCUUUGCAACAUUCAGACUCUUGGGAGUGGACAUAUAUCUUCACACUGUCCAGUAUGUUGAGAACUUACUUGAGGCUAGAUGAUUACAUGUGUGAAGAAGGAAGGAGAGAGAAGGUAGGGAGUUAGGAAGAAAGAAAACAAUUAAUGAGACAGGAAGGAAGGAAGUUAAAAAGUGAAGGAGUGGUCCAUUUUAAGGUUAAUGUACUGUAUAUUGUUAUUCAAGGGAUUAACCUUUGUAAAUAUGAAAUGCUAAAGGAUAGACCCCAAAAUAGAUUUCUAAAUUCAUUUAUAGUUGUGUAUUCCCUUAAAGGCUUUAUCAGCCUGAUUUAUUUUAGACCAGGAAUGUAUUUGAAAAGGCUGCUGUCCACUUCAUCUAUGCUACAAUUCUUCAAAAUGUAGAUGUUCUAUCAUUGCUAGUGUUGGUUUAGUAACAUACAUCUUCCUGUGUAUCCAGCUCUAAUAAAAACAUUUAAAGGUGAAGCACCUACUUAUCAGGAGAUCCAUUUAUUUUUACAUGUUAUUGUUUGAAUUUUGUCUCGUUUCAUAACUUUUGCUCAACAUUUAAGGGGAACUGUGUUACCCUGCGAUCAUCUUCAUUACACUUGAAAACUUGUACUAUACCUCCGUCCGUCUACUUAUUAAAUGGAAUAACAUGACAAGA
This is a non-coding RNA of Nothobranchius furzeri (turquoise killifish), 1378 nucleotides long. Lineage: Eukaryota; Metazoa; Chordata; Actinopteri; Cyprinodontiformes; Nothobranchiidae. The record is from RefSeq and is a predicted model, not a curated record.